RNAcentral lists this ribosomal RNA (405 nucleotides) under uncultured bacterium. Its description in RNAcentral is "partial 16S ribosomal RNA". It matches the Rfam family "Bacterial small subunit ribosomal RNA", at positions 28 to 526 of the family's 1533-position model. The record is from RNAcentral.
GAUGAACGCUGGCGGCGUGCCUAAUACAUGCAAGUCGAGCGAAGCGGGGACGGGUGAGUAACACGUGGAUAACCUCCUAUAAGACUGGGAUAACUUCGGGAAACCGGAGCUAAACCGCAUACUUAUAGAUGGAUCCGCUCUGCAUUAGCUAGUUGGUAAGGUAACGGCUUACCAAGGCAACGAUGCAUAGCCGACCUGAGAGGUUGAUCGGCCACACUGGAACUGAGACACGGUCCAGACUCCUACGGUAGGCAGCAGGAGGGAAGCUUCCGAAAGGGGCGAAAGCCUGACGGGGCAACGCCGCGUGAGUGAGGAAGGUCUUCGGAUCGUAAAACUCUGUUAUUAGGGAAGCGGUAACUAAUCAGAAAGCCACGGCUAACUACGUGCCAGCAGCCGCGGUAAUUC